This 447-nucleotide ribosomal RNA is filed under the name uncultured bacterium. RNAcentral describes it as "bacterial SSU rRNA". It matches the Rfam family "Bacterial small subunit ribosomal RNA", at positions 355 to 825 of the family's 1533-position model. The record is from RNAcentral.
UCGGGAAUUUUUGGCAAUGGGCGAAAGCCUGACCCAGCAACGCCGCGUGAAGGAUGAAGUAUUUCGGUAUGUAAACUUCGAAAGAAUAGGAAGAAUAAAUGACGGUACUAUUUAUAAGGUCCGGCUAACUACGUGCCAGCAGCCGCGGUAAUACGUAGGGACCAAGCGUUGUUCGGAUUUACUGGGCGUAAAGGGCGCGUAGGCGGCAUGACAAGUCACUUGUGAAAUCUCUGGGCUUAACCCAGAACGGCCAAGUGAUACUGUCGCGCUAGAGUGCAGAAGGGGCAAUCGGAAUUCUUGGUGUAGCGGUGAAAUGCGUAGAUAUCAAGAGGAACACCUGAGGUGAAGACGGGUUGCUGGGCUGACACUGACGCUGAGGCGCGAAAGCCAGGGGAGCAAACGGGAUUAGAUACCCUAGUAGUCCCUGAGCGGGCUGGCAAGGCGCAU